RNAcentral lists this ribosomal RNA (458 nucleotides) under uncultured bacterium. RNAcentral describes it as "bacterial SSU rRNA". It matches the Rfam family "Bacterial small subunit ribosomal RNA", at positions 66 to 524 of the family's 1533-position model. The record is from RNAcentral.
GCGGUAUUUGUUCUUCGGAACAGAGAGAGCGGCGUACGGGUGCGGAACACGUGUGCAACCUGCCUUUAUCUGGGGGAUAGCCUUUCGAAAGGAAGAUUAAUACCCCAUAAUAUAUUUUACGGCAUCGUAAGAUAUUGAAAACUCCGGUGGAUAGAGAUGGGCACGCGCAAGAUUAGUUAGUUGGUGAGGUAACGGCUCACCAAGACGAUGAUCUUUAGGGGGCCUGAGAGGGUGAUCCCCCACACUGGUACUGAGACACGGACCAGACUCCUACGGGAGGCAGCAGUGAGGAAUAUUGGACAAUGGGUGAGAGCCUGAUCCAGCCAUCCCGCGUGAAGGACUAAGGCCCUAUGGGUUGUAAACUUCUUUUAUACUGGGAUAAACCUACUUACGUGUAAGUAGCUGAAGGUACAGUAUGAAUAAGCACCGGCUAACUCCGUGCCAGCAGCCGCGGUAAU